RNAcentral lists this ribosomal RNA (718 nucleotides) under Osborniella crotophagae. RNAcentral's name for it is "12S ribosomal RNA". The record is from RNAcentral. Lineage: Eukaryota; Metazoa; Arthropoda; Insecta; Psocodea; Menoponidae.
UAAAAGUUUUAUAUUUGCUUUAAAGUAAGUAAUAUAUUAAUCUCUCAUAUCAUAUGGUAGAGAAUAAAUUUAUAUAAAUUUCAAUUAGUUAUAGGUAAUAUAAAGAUCUAGAAAAUCAUGUGCCAGCAUCUGCGGUCAAACCUGAGGAUUAACUUACUUUAAUCUAUACUUGACUUAAUAUGUAAAAAAAAACAGAAUUAUUAUUUUUGGUUCAAUAAAAAUAAUAUUUAAAUUUAAAAAAAAACGUACUAAAACUAAUUAAAAAACCGGGAUUAGAUACCCCGUUAUAAUAGUUAAUGAAAGUUAUAGAAAAGUAUUAUUAAUAUAAGAAAUUUAAAUUUUAUGACAGUUAGAAAUUCGGAUUAGAAGAAUAUGUCUCUUAAAUAGAUGGUACCCAAAGAAUCAUACUUAUUUUUGAAUAUCACUCUUCCCACCGCCGUUUAUGGUAUAGAUAAAUUUAAGCCAGUAAUAGAAAAAAAUUUUUUUUUCGAAUAAAUCAGGUAAAGGUGAAGGUAAUAAAUAAGGUGAGAUGUAUUACAAUUUUUAUAUAAGUGAAUAAAUUUUUUAAAAAAUUUUUUGAAAAUGAAUUUAAGAGUAAUAAAUUUUAAUAAUAAAUUUAUGAAUUCGAUCUUUCUUUUGUACAAAUCGCCCGUCACCCCCGAGUCAUUCUUGGGGUAAGUCGAAACAAAGUAAAAGUACUGGAAAGUGUUUUUAUAUA